GCUGAAUCCGACGUUUACUUACUCAAAUUUCGACAACUGCAGUCUCGAGCAUUGGGUAUGAUUCGCUCUCAUGUACUUUCUGUACUCAAAAGUGCGUCUUCUCAGGUUCAGUCAGCAAUCCGAAGCAAUAGUAGCAGCAAGGCAUCUCUUGCUGAGGGUGUAGAGGCAUCUGGUAUAUAUGUUCGUUUCAAGGCAACGACAAGUGAGGUACUGUUUCUUUCUUAGCGAUUCUUUUUUAUUAAGACUCCUGUUUGGUCAGUAAUGAUAUGUAAUUAAAUCUCCUCUGCUGUAGGUUCAUGCGGCCAGAAACUGCACAGGGCAUAUU
This is a long non-coding RNA of Humulus lupulus (European hop), 325 nucleotides long. RefSeq lists it as uncharacterized. The record is from RefSeq and is a predicted model, not a curated record. The transcript has 3 exons. NCBI's taxonomy places the organism in Eukaryota, Viridiplantae, Streptophyta, Magnoliopsida, Rosales, Cannabaceae.